RNAcentral lists this non-coding RNA (109 nucleotides) under Bacillus sp. (in: firmicutes). Its description in RNAcentral is "Bacillus sp. TPP sequence". It matches the Rfam family "TPP riboswitch aptamer (THI element)". Rfam says of the family: Vitamin B(1) in its active form thiamin pyrophosphate (TPP) is an essential coenzyme that is synthesised by coupling of pyrimidine and thiazole moieties in bacteria. The previously detected thiamin-regulatory element, thi box was extended, resulting in a new, highly conserved RNA secondary structure, the THI element, which is widely distributed in eubacteria and also occurs in some archaea. The record is from RNAcentral. Lineage: Bacteria; Bacillati; Bacillota; Bacilli; Caryophanales; Bacillaceae.
ACGAAACACUAGGGGUAGCCAUAUUGGCUUGAGAUGGAACAAUUGAAUUUCCGAACCCUUUGAACCUGAUCUGGUUUAUACCAGCGGAGGGAAGUGGCUAGCUAUUUUG